Long non-coding RNA from Serinus canaria (Common canary), 6336 nucleotides. RefSeq lists it as uncharacterized. NCBI's taxonomy places the organism in Eukaryota, Metazoa, Chordata, Aves, Passeriformes, Fringillidae. The record is from RefSeq and is a predicted model, not a curated record. The transcript is spliced from 3 exons.
ACAGCAGCAGCCUAACAGUGAUGCUUAAUCAGGAAGGAGGUCUGGUGACUAAUACAAAUGAAUGGUCAGAGAAUGGAAAAGGCCUUGGGAUGGCAGGCAUGCCCAGCCAGGUAUAGCACAGGGCUUCUGUUUUACUGAAAGUAACAUCACAUCAGAGAAGCUGCCUAUGGCUGGGCUCUGUGUAAAUAAAAGAAGGAAUGUGCUCUAUGCCAUUAAUUCACAGUGAGGAAUCUAAACUAAGGCUGGACAAGGAUGGCUCCAAUGCAAACACUGCUGGGACAAGCUGUGGGUGACAUCCCAGGCUGCUUAACCUACUGUGCUUCGCAGAAUUAUGGGAAAGGAAGGAAAGAUGUGCAGCAGAAGUAAUCAUCAGAUUCCCUAUCUGCCACACCUGGAGUAUGAUCGCCUCAUUAACAAUCAAAUGUCCACUAAGGAGCAAAUCAAAACAGUCUGUCUCAUCUUCAAAAAUAAACAAGGACACUUGUGAAGACAAAACAAAGCAGCUGUAUGCAGGAAGAACAAAAACAGAGGUAUGCCUUGUGCUCAGGUGGGUUUUACCAGACGGUAGAUAGUUUUCCAACACAUGUUUAAAGAUUUUAAAGAGAUUUGUUUUUAUAAAAUUCUAUGUUUAUUUGGUUGCUAAACUGUCUAUAAAGUUGUCUCAUUAGAAAUGACUGGCACCCAUUCCAAAUUUGUGUUCUACAGGAAAUGAGGAAAUUCAUAUUAAAAAAAUAUAUUUCCAGAGGAGAACAAAAGUUUAGAAAUACUAGAAUUUCCUACCAAAAUUUUUUCUGUUUCUGUAAAAGAAAUAUUACUUCAAUUUUUAUCUUUGAAGAUGGAGUAAAUUGCUAUUCCUAGCUUAGAUGAAUUCCUCACAUCAUUCUGUUUUCUGAAACAGCUGAGGGAGUAACCCUGAACAAUUGCUUGAUGUAAAGGAGAGCCCUAAAACUUGAGAACUCUGCCAGAGUACCAGGAAGCUCUGUGGUAUGUGUGCAACUUCUGUGGCAUUGUGGGACCCAAAGAUUAGUAACCACAAGAGGCUUUUGCUUCAGUUGAGCAGAAAUCUGUCAUUUGGUAGCAGUGUGAAAAACUAUCUUUUUGUUGCUAUUGAAACAUUUUGGUUUCCAGGAAUCAGCACUUUCUAAUAAAAAUGAGUGGAAAAACAUUCCACACAGAAGCAUACUGCUAGAAAAUUUCAAACCAGAUCAUUUUCCUUACGGUAUAAACUUAGUGAUCAGUGACUUACUAAAAGGCACCAUCACCCCUUCACAUGGCCAAGUACUAUGGAAAUACACAGCACAAAGUAUAUUUGUGUAAGUCUGUAUAUAGAAGGACUGGAAAUCUGAGGAAGUUAAAGUUUGGAAAGGCAGAAAAGCAAAAGAUAAGUAAUAUGAUGAACAUUUUAAAACAAGGAAUGGGGUUUUUUUGUUCGAUGUUCCCUGAAUGUUGUCUGUUACCUGAAAAUUUCUCAAUAGAGUUAACAGUAGAAGAGAUAGAAGGUAGUAGAGACUGAACAGGCAUUUUUAUCAUCGUGGCACAGAGGGCACAACAGUAAACAUCAGUGACUUCUGUAUUCAAAAUAUUCCACCUGCCACUAGAUGCGAGUGGAGCUGCACUGAAAUUUUAAUGUUACGAGGAUUUGAGUCUGCAUACAUGGAGCUUCAGUACCAAUUAAGGCAUUCAAAUUACUUCUUUCACUGUGUCUUAUUUUCCCAGUUCUUGAGAAAUCAGCCACUAUCAUUUCUGAUUUGCAUUUUAAAUGUUAGCAUAGAAGAAAUGACCUUCUGGCCUUCAUGAAGUCAUUGAGGGAAUUCCCAUACAUUUCAGCACUAAAAGGAUUUUUAGCCCAAGAAUCAAGGGCUAAAUCUGAAUUAAAUAUCUACCUUUAAGAGGAAGAAAGUAAGGAUGUUUUCAGAUGUAAAUUUUCAUAUUUUUCCUUUCUCCUGGAAGCCUGACCCAAAAACCUAUUUGGGAAAUAAGUGGAAAAAAAGGUUUUUGUAUUGCCUCCUCUGCUCACAGUGCUGGUACUGUUGGUCCAGUUGACCCCUGUCCACUAAUGGUAGGAGCAUAAGAUUUUGAAAGCCUGGGGUCCAGAGGGUUAUGACAAAUCCAUAAGAAAGUUGCACAGGGGCUAGCUACCUCCCUUGUGUUUUCAACUCUGAAGUCCAGCUUUAUAAAUCAGAGGAGCUGUUAAUUCUAGGAAGAGUUAAAUAGAUUUGCAAAGAGAAAUUGAGACAUUAAGAAACUCCUGUCAUCAAACUUACAGUGUAAAUAACCAUUGCUAUCUGAUCUGAAAGAGAAAUUUGAGUUCAUAAGGGCUUAUGAUGUAGAAGGAAUGUUACUAGCUUAAUUGGUCAAGCAAAAUGUACCACCUACUUAAUGAUAUAAUUGUACUUCCUUUAUUGCUUCUGGGUUGUCUGGAUUCCCUUCGCCCCCUCACAUAUGAUAUCAAUUCUGCAGAUGCAUUCACAGAUUGUAAGUGUUCCUUGCUAGAAAAGAGACCUACUAUAGCUCCUGGCAGGUUUUUGGGAUCUUAAAACAAUUGCAGUCAAUAUUUAACUUUCAAUGCCACUUCUGUGAUCUGGUUACAAAUGAGUGACUGCAUUUUAAGAGCAUUUGAGCCAUCAGGAGAGCAGAAUGUUCAUCUUUCCUCUUCAGGAGUACUGACUGUUUGUCCCAGCAGCUUUGACUCUUCUUUACUUAUGAGCAGUUCAGGAAUUUCAAUGAAUCCGGUCAUUCUCAUUCCACCUGCAAGGGGCAAGAAGCACAUGCCAGUUGCCACAGUUAUAGAAAAGGAAUAUGAUUUAUAUGAUCUAGCCAUCUAUAUGUUCUGCUUCCUCUCUGGCAAAAAGUCUUGAUGUACAGCACUCAACAGCAUGUUUUAGUCUUUAAAAAAUAAGAAACUUUCCAUUUUCCAACACUGAAAAGUACUAUUCGCAAAUCAGGAAAAAGUGUAAGAUGGAACAUGCACUGAUGUUAGUUUUAAGUACAUAUUUAGUUUUCAUACAUGAUCUGGAAACACUAGAAUUUUUUUGUAAGAGAUUAAUUUAUAGGUGAUUUAUUCUAUUGAAGUUUUGCAUGCAAGGUAUACAUUGCAUCUUGUGAAAUACAUUACUGUUGUAACUCUGUGAGGAGAGGAUUCUCCAGAUCUUGUUCACCCCUGUUUACCUCUGUUGCAAGCUAUCAUUAGGCUACAAAAAUGCAAUCAUGUUUUGCAUUGCACAGAACUGCAUUAAAUUGGAUUUUGAUAAUCCCCACACCUUUCCAUAAACACCAGCACAAACACUGUUUUGCUUGGUUAUUUUAAUUACUUUCUCCCAGUAGGAGAGAGCACCCAAUAAUUGUUGUUUGGUUAUUAUUUGCUCAAUUCUUACGAACGGAAUGUUCACUGCUUCCUGUCUUUGCUCUGUACAUUUUAGUACUGGCCAUGGCAGUAGAACAGAGGUACUUUAAAAUAUCCUGUCAUCUUUGCUAUGGCAAAAUUAAGGCUGUUUUAAUCACUCAGGAACAAGCUAUUCCUACAGAAAGAAAAAUUUCUCUACAUGACACCUAUGUGUGAUCAGCCUCUCUGUCCACUGGGUGACACCAGCAGCCUAUCUGACAUCUGCUAGCUGUGCAUAGCACCACAGAACACAUAUCUGGAGGAGAUUUAACCACAGAGCUGCUUUUUUCCUGGUAACACUAGGAACAUUGCCUUUCUGUCUGGUGGGAAAGUGAGAUAAAUUAAUAGGAAAACCAAAAUGCAGGGAAAAAACGAAAAAACUAAAACAUCUCCCAAAACUACUACCUUUUGUUGACAAGGUGGAAGGAGACAAAGUGAGAAAAUACUCCAUAAAACACUCGACGAACUGAAGGCCUGUUGUGCAAACUCAUUAAAAGGACAUGCUUUAUUAUGAAUGAUCCACAGGCUGAUGAAAAUUAUUGCGAACAGCUCUGAGUCUCAGGUAAUAAAUUACUGAGAUGCAGUUUGAUUCUGUCCCAUAUUACCUUUCUUGCAUUCCCACAUGGAAAUAAUUUAUCAGUUUUAAAACAAAGAUCAUGAUAACAUGCAAUUUUAUUUCAGCUGGUAAACCGAUUAAUCCUUAGAACAGCUUACAUGCUACUUUUUAAAAAUAAUUUAAAACAUUCUCAUAUAUAGGCAACAUUUUGGUUUGGUUUUGCUGUUGAUUUGUCACUUUUCCUUUACCUGUUAUUCACUGCUACAAAGAUUAGCCACCAGUACAUGCUCGAUUUUAGUCCUCCUCUGAUACAGAUAUAAACAAAAGAUGCAUGAGGAGUAAAACCUAAAACCUAAUUAGUCUGUCAUCGUGGUCUUAAUUGUUUUAAAAGCUGAAUGGUAAAAGCAAGGUGGCUGGUUCUUUUGCUUCAACAAGAAACUAACUGUUGUUUAAGGAAGAAUGGAGUUUGUUUUUAGAAGGAAUGUGUUAAUAGUCCUUCCUGUCAACACUCUUAAUGUCUCUCAUGGUAAAUAAUCAGCCCAUGAUCCUAUUUCACCUGGUUACCCCUCCUGCGGCCUUUCAGUUGAUAGAGUGAACAUCCCAUACAAAGGGGGCUCUUUCUGCUGUUUCCAGGGGAGUAUUCAACCCAUCUUCAAGCAAUUCCCAGACAGACCUACCCAGUUGUUCCUGUUCUCAGCGGGAACAGCUUUAUGCUACCAAAAGCUGUAGCAGUUCAGAACAGUGAAAGUUACUGACACAAGCCAGGACUGGCUUGUUGUUAACACUCGACCAAAGCCGUACUGCAGUAUACCAGCAUUCUCUGAGGAUAGGGGGACACUAAGGAAACCUGCCUGAAGUAGCAGCUCCAGUUCUCCUUGUGUUAUUGCAUACAGUAGUGACUUGCAAAUACCAGAAGAAAGAUAAGAAGCUUUAAAUGCAACUCUGCCAGAAGUCACAAGUUGGAAAGGGUCACAGUCAACUCCAGAGUAGCUCAAAAGCAAAGUAAUAAAUAAUAUUCAGAAGUUCUGGAUUCUAAAAUAGGCUAUGGUACUUUUCUGUUGAACAACAGCACAGCGUCUACUGAUCUGAGACUGGCCCAAUUGCAGUUUAAAAGUAAUAGUCAUAAAGAAUGAAAUCAUUACAUUUAGGGUAGACUGCAAUUCCCCUUUUCUGUAUUUCUGAAAAAUUUGUUAUGUGCCAGAGAUGACAAAAUUGAUUGAUCAAUUGGUCAUGCCUGAUUGUCUGGAAUGUUCAAAGCUUGUUAGAGACAGCUCCAGAAGCAUUGUGCAAUACUCACUAACUGAUAAUCAGUUGGUGUAUGAAAUUAGUAGUCUGCUAGUCACUAUGUGCAGAGUAAUUUACAUAGGGAAAAAGAUUCAGAAUUAUUCCUAAAGAUGGAUACAAUAGCUUUUAACACUGAGGUAAGAGAUCUAAGACUCAUUCAGUGACAAAUCCCUGAAAACUUUUGAUCAUUCUUUGUAAUGCAAGUACAAUGUUAGUCAAAGGAUAAUAAAAACAUUCUUGAGAUUCUGGUACACAGCACAUGACUGUCUUCAUCACAUCUCAAUGAGGGAGAUAAAUAUAGAAUGGCUGUUCAUAUAAUGAAGGACUAAAUAAGGUAGCUUACAAAAGAGGCUAAGAUGAGAUAAGAGAGAGCUUUAUAAAGCAAAAAUGUUGUGGCAAAGGAAUUAGAAAUAAUUAUUGAUUGUUUCUGAACACACAGACUGAUCAGACGCACCAAGGAAGAGAUAAACAGCAGAUUUCAAACAAAAGAAUGUUCUUUUUCUAACAGCACAUCAUUAAAUUGUGGAGCUCUUUGCCACAGGAUGUUGAGGAGGCCAAAAGUGUAAGUGUGCUCAAAAUGGAAUUAGAUACAUUCCUGAGUGCUGGCUCUGUUGGCAACUGUGAAAAGUCAUGGCCCAGACACAACUUUUGGUUGAGGAAAUCCCUAAAUUGUUAAUCCCCUGGUAACUGAAGUCCACCGAAUUGUUAACUGCUUAUGGCUCAUAUGGAUCACAAAAAGAAGGUUCUUUUUUUAAAUGUUAUUCCAUUCCUCCCCCACUUACCAGGCACUCACAGGGACAGGAUGGUAGACAAGUUAAAUGAGCCUUUGGUAUAAUCCUGCACAUUUGUUUUUAUACCAGUAUGUGCAAGGUUAUUGCUUUAAUUGGAGUAAAAUUUUAGGAUUAGGGAGGAAAAUGCACAGAGUUCAUGAGAAGAAGGUUCUUUACUUCUGAAGUCAUCCUUGGCAAAAUAUAUAAAACAAUUUUGUAUAUAUUUAAUUUUUAAAGCCUUGAUGAAGCAAAACUAAUGUUCCCAGGAGGGGAAGGUUUCCCUCAAACUGUGUAAAAGAUUAAAAACCUACUUAAUUUUACAUGCUUUCUUCUGGAGGCAGAUA